This 441-nucleotide long non-coding RNA is filed under the name Sorghum bicolor (sorghum). RNAcentral describes it as "long non-coding RNA (SBIC_LNC009781)". The record is from RNAcentral. Lineage: Eukaryota; Viridiplantae; Streptophyta; Magnoliopsida; Poales; Poaceae.
GCGAGAGCAAAGGCAUGGAGAGAGAGAGCAAAAUAGGGAGAGGGAGGGGGCUCGGGCUCGAGCGCGCUCAAAAGGGCAAGCCCAUGGGGGGAACGUGGGGGAAGGAGUGGGAGUGGCCGCAGUUGCAGCCUUCCAGCGAGAGGGGAGGAGACGGUUGCUGGAGGUGGGGGGAGGAACUGACGGGUGGGUCCCGCUCGUCAGCCGCUGGAGAGAGAGGAGGGGGGUGCGAGGCGCUGGCGGGCUGAGUGGCGUGAGCGGGCCGGCCUGAGGGAGGUGGGAGUUGGGCCGCAACUAGACCACGAGGCCAAAAGCUGAGAGAGAGGGAGAUCCAUCUUUUCUUUUCUUUUUUUUUCCAAAACCAAUUUGAAUCAUUUUCAAAAGCAUUUAAAUUCCUUUCAACUUUGGUCACAACCACACAUCACAAAAAUAAAAUGCUACAGC